Molecule: ribosomal RNA, 253 nt
Filed under: uncultured bacterium
Lineage: Bacteria
Description: partial 16S ribosomal RNA
Rfam family: Bacterial small subunit ribosomal RNA
Source: RNAcentral
UACGUAGGGUGCGAGCGUUGUCCGGAAUUACUGGGCGUAAAGAGCUCGUAGGUGGUUUGUCGCGUUGUUCGUGAAAUCUCACGGCUUAACUGUGAGCGUGCGGGCGAUACGGGCAGACUAGAGUACUGCAGGGGAGACUGGAAUUCCUGGUGUAGCGGUGGAAUGCGCAGAUAUCAGGAGGAACACCGGUGGCGAAGGCGGGUCUCUGGGCAGUAACUGACGCUGAGGAGUGAAAGCGUGGGGAGCGAACAGG